Molecule: microRNA precursor, 59 nt
Filed under: Tribolium castaneum (red flour beetle)
Lineage: Eukaryota; Metazoa; Arthropoda; Insecta; Coleoptera; Tenebrionidae
Description: Tca-Mir-29-P2g_pre stem-loop
Source: RNAcentral
AGCUGAAUCUUGAGGUGCUUCCGUGGUUUGGGCUCGUAGCACCACAUGAUUCAGCUUAC